CAGCAGCCGCGGUAAUACGAAGGUCGCAAGCGUUAUCCGGAUUUACUGGGCGUAAAGCGUCCGCAGCUGGUUUGCCCAGUCUGAUGUUAAAGGCAGAAGCUUAACUUCUGUGUGCAUUGGAUACUAGCAGGCUAGAGUUAUGGAGGGGUUAGUGGAAUUCCUAGUGUAUCGGUGGAAUGAGUAGAUAUUAGGAGGAACACCAGUGGCGAAGGCGACUAACUGGCCAUAUACUGACAGUCAUGGACGAAAGCGUGGGGAGCGAACAGGAUUAGAUACCCUGGUAGUCCACGCCGUAAACGCUGAGUACUAGGUGUUGGGCAUAAGCUCAGUGCCGCAGUUAACGCAUUAAGUACUCCGCCUGGGUAGUAUGCACGCAAGUGUAAAACUCAAAGGAAUUGACGGGGACCCGCACAAGCGGAGGAUCAUGUGGUUUAAUUCGAGGCAACGCGAAGAACCUUACCAGGAUUUGACAUACUAGGCAAAACUAUAGAGAUAUAGCCGAGGUCAACCUAGAUACAGGUGGUGCAUGGUUGUCGUCAGCUCGUGCCG
Molecule: ribosomal RNA, 549 nt
Filed under: uncultured Mycoplasmatota bacterium
Lineage: Bacteria; Bacillati; Mycoplasmatota
Description: bacterial SSU rRNA
Rfam family: Bacterial small subunit ribosomal RNA
Source: RNAcentral